UAACGACUCUCGGCAACGGAUAUCUAGGCUCUCGCAUCGAUGAAGAACGUAGCGAAAUGCGAUACUUGGUGUGAAUUGCAGAAUCCCGUGAACCAUCGAGUCUUUGAACGCAAGUUGCGCCCGAGGCCUUUAGGUCGAGGGCACGUCUGCCUGGGCGUCACGC
RNAcentral lists this ribosomal RNA (163 nucleotides) under Coptis trifolia. RNAcentral's name for it is "5.8S rRNA". It matches the Rfam family "5.8S ribosomal RNA". From Rfam's summary of the family: 5.8S ribosomal RNA (5.8S rRNA) is a component of the large subunit of the eukaryotic ribosome. It is transcribed by RNA polymerase I as part of the 45S precursor that also contains 18S and 28S rRNA. Lineage: Eukaryota; Viridiplantae; Streptophyta; Magnoliopsida; Ranunculales; Ranunculaceae. The record is from RNAcentral.